GACAGAGGGUGCAAACGUUGUUCGGAAUUACUGGGCGUAAAGCGCGCGUAGGUGGUUCGUUAAGUUGGAUGUGAAAUCCCCGGGCUCAACCUGGGAACUGCAUUCAAAACUGACGAGCUAGAGUAUGGUAGAGGGUGGUGGAAUUUCCUGUGUAGCGGUGAAAUGCGUAGAUAUAGGAAGGAACACCAGUGGCGAAGGCGACCACCUGGACUGAUACUGACACUGAGGUGCGAAAGCGUGGGGAGCAAACAGG
RNAcentral lists this ribosomal RNA (253 nucleotides) under uncultured bacterium. RNAcentral's name for it is "partial 16S ribosomal RNA". It matches the Rfam family "Bacterial small subunit ribosomal RNA", at positions 524 to 776 of the family's 1533-position model. The record is from RNAcentral.